CUUUAAAUUCAGCUUGUGACUUUGCACUUCAGGAUUCUGAGUGUUCUCUGUCUUCUUCCUGCAUUGUUUUUCUUAUACCAUACAGGUUUUUCAUUGGCCUUGACUUUUUGUUGUUAACUCAUUCUUCUUUGGGUUUAUCUUCAUUUGUUUCUGCUGAAUAUUAUUUGUUUCAAACUAAAAAUAACAUUCCACAUUUUAAUUGAUGUGCGGACUCUUAAUCUACUUAAAAUGUGGGCUGAAGUUCCAUGAUUCCAGCUGGUCUGGAAUAGGUCAUUUAACUGGAUGUUAAUCCACCUACAUUGUUCCCUAAGUGACAUGUGGGUCCCAUUCUGCUGACAUAUUUGUGGGUCCUGGUAACAACCAUUUGGGUAGAUUUGCUGAUUCCUCUUUUCUCCUUAGUGGAAGAGAAAGCCAAUACCCACCUCCUCUUGGGCAUGUGCUUAGACGCCUGUGCUCGCUACCUUCUGUUCUCCAAGCAGCCGUCACAGGCACAAAGGAUGUAUGAAAAAGCUCUGCAGAUUUCUGAAGAAAUACAAGGAGAAAGACACCCACAGACCAUUGUGCUGAUGAGUGACCUGGCUACUACCCUGGAUGCACAGGGCCGCUUUGAUGAGGCCUAUAUUUAUAUGCAAAGGGCAUCAGAUCUGGCAAGACAGAUAAAUCAUCCUGAGCUACACAUGGUACUCAGUAAUCUAGCUGCAGUUUUGAUGCACAGAGGUAGGUAGCAAUGUAAACUUAACUGACUUGCUUUAAGGGAGAGAUGUCACUGGAUUGAUAAAUUUGUGAAAUGGUAUGUAGGGAGGGCAAGGGCCAACGAAGAAACAUGUGGUUGAAUGGCAGAAAAAGGAGGUAUUGAUUAGGUUGAAGUACUAUUGUGUUCAAUUCACGUAACUUCUACAGACCUGCACUAGCCUGUCGAACCCCAUCAAGCUGGAGAAAACCUUGCAAUGAUAGUACCUUACGUCAGUAGUGCUUUACAGAUUUCUAAAUGUGUUCAGUUACAAUGUGUUUCUCACAGUGUGCUGGUGAAGCUUUAUGACAGGAAGCAUCAUUUUGUCAGACAUUUCUUAGUGUCAGCACACUAUACCGAUCAUUUUCAGAAACCUGGGAUGACAGGUGUAUUACACAUACCACCAUUCAUGAAAUCUUGGGCUCAUCAAAGUCCUCAGGAUAUACUGGAAAGGGCCGUUAGGAAUCCCACAGCAUUCAGUGGAGUUCCAGCCUGUCAGAUGGGGAUGAAAUGAGGCAGCACCAGCUUGUCGCUUCAUAAGCACACAGUAAAUUAGCCCUAUAUCUGCAUUCAUGCUCUCUCUUCAGAAUCACCUUGAAAACAUACACUUUCUUCUUACUGUCCCUUCUCUCUGGGUUAUUUUAGAACGAUAUACACAAGCAAAAGAGAUCUACCAGGAAGCACUGAAGCAAGCAAAGCUGAAAAAAGAUGAAAUUUCUGUACAACACAUCAGGGAGGAGUUGGCUGAGCUGUCAAAGAAAAGUAGACCUUUGACUUAAAUUCUGUCAAGCUCUAAAUCCAUUUUUGUGUAGGGAGAAUAAUGUCUAGUAAUGUGGAAGAAUAGCUAUCAUUCCUGUCUCUGUGGCACCCAGAGCAAUGGCUUAAAUCUGUCGUUUUUGAUAUUCAGGUUUCCUCAAUUUAGCCUUAGUGAAGGAGGGGUUGUAUACACUGCCAUUUUUGUAUUUUAAAGGAAAAAUGACUUUCAUUCCCAACUGAUGAUGACCUUUCAGGAUGUCGUCAAGUGAUGCUUUCAGUUGUAACACGUGACUUGGUGCUGUCCCUGCUGGUCUAAGUAGAACUAUAGAUUAAUAUGGGCCGGUGUUCCUGUGCACUGUGGGUGUGGUGAUUCAGCCUGGCAUUUCUACCAUAAGUUUUUGGUCUGCUGAUUUGCUGCCCUGUCUUCUCUUACUUUAUCAAUACCUGGCAAACUGACCAGAAUUACCUUCCUCAUGGCAAAGGGGGAUUAUGGUGAAUUGUUGUUCUUAUAGUCUGUUUCAUGAAGCACAAGUGGAAUUUAAUACAUAAAGGAGAAAAAUAUCUUAGUUUGCUACCAGCAUCCAGCAUGAAGUUGUAAAGUGGGGAUUAGGCACGUGACAGUAUAGCACCCAUUUGAAUUUAAAUAAAAGUGAACCAUAUUUAUCUGGUUAUAUAAAACUAAAAAUGGGGGUGUUUAUAUAAAACUAAAAACUAAGAAUGAUGUAACCUUUUGUCUGUGUUAUCUGAACACACUCUACUUCCUUUGCAGCCUUAGUCACACAACUGAGUCAUCUCAAGUACUCUUUAAGGACACACAGCCCAGGCUGUUCUGAAUCAGAAUAGGCCCCUACAGGUAUAUUUUAAAACUUUUCGUAAUUCUAAUGUGUACUGCUGGUAUAGCUGAACUACUGACCUGGAUCUUAGUCCUAGCCUUUUUGCUUUUGCAAUUUCAGUAUCUUCAUCUCUAAACUAGGGAAACACUGGGAUUCUUUCUUAGCUGUGGGGGAAGGUAUUUGGUUAGAUGACUUUGAAUGAAUAGACUGCUGUGCUGAAAGAGCUUUAUCACACUGUCUCAAAGUAUGUAAAGAUACAUAGGUGGAUGCUCUUACUGCAGCAGUCAUAUGAAUACAUUUUUAGCCAUUUACCUAAGGAAAAAGACAGUUUUUCUAGGUACCAUGAAGGAAGAUUGACCCUGUUGGUAUGCCUGUGGGGGUGGGAUGUGAGUGGGACUGAUAAACUGAUAUUUUUGGUUUGUAUGUACAUACUGGAAGAAUCUUUUCAUAAUAAAUGAGACUACACAACAAUA
RNAcentral lists this small RNA (2792 nucleotides) under Pan troglodytes (chimpanzee). RNAcentral describes it as "retained intron". Lineage: Eukaryota; Metazoa; Chordata; Mammalia; Primates; Hominidae. The record is from RNAcentral.